Molecule: long non-coding RNA, 7150 nt
Filed under: Equus asinus (donkey)
Lineage: Eukaryota; Metazoa; Chordata; Mammalia; Perissodactyla; Equidae
Description: lncRNA (ENSEASG00005035177.1)
Source: RNAcentral
UCUAAAGAAGGUUCAGCAUGUGCUCCAGAUGUUGUGGAAAAGGUUUCCUCAUGAAUAAUACUGUUAAUAUUCACAGGAUACUUUCAGAAUAUUUUUCUCACACACCAUCUUAUUUUAUUUGAUCUAUAUACAGCUUUCUCACCAUCUCUUUUUGAUAGAUGAACAGUGAGGCUCAGAAGGGUUAGAGGUAAAGCAACGUCUGGAGGAAGCAGCUCUGACCAAGCAAGUCACAGAGUUGGGAUGGGACCUGAGAACCUCUGAUACCAGAUCCCACUUCUUUCCCUUUCAGAGAUCCUAGAUUUCUCCUCCGCAGUGGCAGUGUCUGGUCCAUCUUAAACUUCAGAUCAAUCUAUGGACCUCAGGAGAAUAUCUCUUGCCAUGAAAAGAGUUUAUUUAGAUCCUCUCCAGCAGUGGAUCUCAAUUCUUGCCAACUGAUUUAUCCUAAUUUAUAAGCCUCCUGGCAUAAUCCUCUCAGACUAUUUACCAAUGCAUUUUACUCAAUGUCUUACUCAGUUCAGGCUGCUAUAACAAAAUACCAUCAACCAUGUGGCUUAAACAACAGGCAUUCAUUUCUCAUAAUUCUAGAGGCUGGAAGUUCAAGGUCAAGGUGCUGGCAGAUGUGGUGUCUGGUGAGGGCUCUUUUCCUGGUUUGAAGAUGGCUGCCUUCUCACUGUGCUCCCACAGGCUUUCCUCAAUGCACGUGCAUGGAGAGAGAGAGAUCUCUGUCUUCCUCUGCUUCUAAGGGCACUAAUCCCAGCAUGAAAGUCCUGCCCUCCUGGCCUCAUCUAAACCUAAUUACCUCCCCAAGGCCCCACCUCUAAAUGCCAUCACAGUGAGGGUUGGGGCUUCAAUGCAGGAAUUUUGCGUGGUGGGGGAGGGGACACACAAACACACAGACGUUGAGCCCACAACACUCAAUUCAUAAAAAAAUAUUUCUUCUCAUUGCCAAAUUGCCUUAUCUACAUCAUUUUUGCUUAUGUUUAUGGAGUGCUAACUCUAUGCCAGAUGUUUUUCUUCAGUAUUUCAUGUACGCAACUUAUUUACUCUCUAUGACAAUCCAGUGAAGUGGUUACCAUUCAAACUGCUUUAGGUCUUUCAAAUUAACGCUUUGUUGCUGGCCAAUAGCUAUUUUGCUGAAUUGCUCUCCCUUCUAUUGUGGUGUCUGGGAACUUGGGAAGUGAGAUUUUAAGACUACCUGGCUAGCUGGGUUCUGGUUAAGAUUCUGUUCAUGGGGAGCAUUUUAUCUGGAAGGUGGGAGGGAAGCAGGAGCCGUCGUUCCUCCAUAGAUGGACAGCCCACUGCUAUGGGCUGAAUGUUUGUGUCCCCCUAGAACUCACAUGUUGAAACCAUAAUCCCCAAUGUGGUGGUAUUUGGAGGUGGGGCGUUUGGGAGGUGAUUAGCUCAUGAUGAGAUUAGCAGCUUUAUACACACCAAGGACAGGCCAUGUGAGGACAUAUCCAGGAAGAGAGCCUUCACCAAGAACCCGACUAUGCUGGCACCCUGGUCUCAGGCUUCCAGUCUUCAGAACCCUGAGAAAUAAAUGUUUGUUGUUAAAGCCACCCGGCCUAUGGUAAUUAGUUGUAGCCUGAACUGACUAAGACACCAACCCUUGAGGAACCUGUAGGUAUUCCCCUGAAGAUCACCACCCUGGGGAUCCACACAUGAGCCACCAUCAGCACAGUUCUUUGCAUUUCUGGCCCUGAAAGUGGAAGCCUUUUCUUGAUUUAUCAGAAAGCAAACCUGAGAGCUAGCAACAGCUUUUGCUGAGCUUCACGCUUCCACCUCUUUCACUGGUUUUAUAACCACUUAAUUCCCUGUAUUAAAUCAUUUCCUGGGGCUGGCUCCAUGGCCGAGUGGUUAAGUUUGCACGCUCCGCUGCGGCGGCCCAGGGUUCGGAUCCUGGGAGCGGACAUGGCACUGCUCAUCAGGCCACGUUGAGGCGGCGUCCCACAUGCCACAACUAGAAGGACCUGCAACUAAGAUAUACAACUAUGUACAGGGCGGGGUUUGGGAAAUAAAAGCAGAAAAAAAAAAUCAUUUCCUCCUUGGAAUACCUAGAGGAGUUUCUGUUUUCUGGACCAAAACACUAGGUGAUAUAAUUAUACUUCGUUUUGUUUUUUUCUUAGACAAUAGACGAUGCCGAAGUAAAAUAUUUUGUAUCAAUCUUUGUUUUCAUUUUCUCAUUAGCUUUUGACUAAAAAAGUAGAAAUCACGUGUGAAGCAAGCCUUCAGCAUAGAGGUUUUAAAAGUGUAUAUAUUAAUGCUACUUCUAGAAUCGUAGUUGAUAAAGACAGUCUUUUAGCAGAUCAAAUUUCAAUUUUAAACGGCAGAAAGGAGUGAUUCUCAACUUUGGCUGCUCAUUAGAAUCAUUCCGGUAGCUUUUAAGAAAAUACCUAUGUUUGGACCUUACCCCACACUAAAAUGGAAUCUCUGGUGUCUUAACUCUGAUUUUUUUAAAUGUGAAAUUUACAUACUAGGAAAAGCUAGUGGGUUAAUUGAAUGUAUGCACACCUGCCAUUUUAUGUCCUGUCUCAGGUCCUGUAAGUGUACCUGGGCUGGCCAUACAAUCACACAGUGGAAGAAUAUUAAUAUCAUCUAGAGGUGCAUGCACUUCAUUUUCUGGAAUCUUCUAAGCUAGUGCAUCUCUAACCUGAAUAUACAUACAGAUCGCCUGGAGAGCUCAUUAAAAUGCAGGUUCUGAUUAAGGAGAUCUGGGAUGGGGCCUGGAAUUCUACAUUUUCUAUGUGAUUCCAAUGCUAUUGGAACCCGUAGCAAACUUCUAACCAAUUUUUGCUUUUCUACCCCUCGUUCUUGAUUUCUCUGUUUCAUCAACCACCUUUUUCUCCUCCUUAGUUUGAUUGUUCACUUUAACUUCCAUUCUGUAUUCUGUUUUAUUGAUGAACCUGUUUAGACUUGCUAUCCCCACAAUAUUUUCAUAGCAUAUAAAUUCUAGUAUAACCUUCCGGUUCUAACACCUCACCAGGCAUAUUAGUCACCUCACUUCAUGGCCAUCCUUGGUAGUGUUUGAUUCCCACCAGGCCUGCUUUUCUCCAAUAGAGGAGAAGGUUAGCUCAGCCAGAGAAAAGGAGAUGCAGACGUAUUUCUUCAUGUUGAUGAAAACGUUUUUGUAUCUUUAUCUACAAUGUUAUCAUCCUGGCUGCACAUCUAAAAUUACCUGAGGGAGUUUGAAAAAAUAUCUGAUGCCCAAGAACUACCACUACAGAUUCCGAAACAAGCAGCCUAAGGUGGGGGCCUGGGCACCCAUAUUUUUAAAAAACUGUCAAGGCAAUUCUCUUGUGCAUGCAGCACUGAGAAUCACUGAUCUAUGCAAAAAUUUAAGAAGCUGCUGAAUGUUUUGAGUUAUUGACAAUGUACCAGUCAGCUAUUGCUGUGUAACAAACAAUCACAAAAAUCCCACAACAAUAAGCAUUGUCUUCUCAUGCAUCUCUGACGAUGGCUGGGCAUCCCUGAGGAUCCCAGCAUGGUUGGCUGCGCUUGGCUUCAAGCCAUGGGUUUAGUUUAUGUUGGGUUCAUGUGACUCUCAUUCUUUUGGGGCCAGCAGGCCACUGGUCUCUUCAUGGCAAUGUUCUCUUCAUGGGAAUGACAGAAUUACAAGGAAAGUGAGUGGAUAUGUGAUGUCUCUUACGGUCUCAGCUCAGCACACACUUUCAUCCUGCCCUUGUUCCACUGGUCAAAGUAAGUCACAUGGCCAAGCCCAGCAUUGAUGGGCUCUGCAAUUUAAUAGUACUUUUUAGUUACUUUCCUUGGCCACGCCUCUCACUGGGGAUAUUUUGAGCAGAGCUAAAGUUGAGAGUUACUCUCUCAUGCUCAGUUCCCUCCCAGACUUAACAAGACUCCAGGAGGGUAAUUCUUGUUUCCUCCAUCUAGUGAAACUUGUAACUUAAAAUGAUCUCCCAAAUCACUAUCUUUCUACAACCAUGUACUCAUUCUCCCUUUUCUUUUUUAAACAUUUAUGUUAACUCUCUGAUGGUGUCGUGCCAAGCUGUAUCGGAUCCUGAAGCAAAAGGAAAAAACAGUAACACUAAUCCUGUUUUAUUUAAACUUAUGAUAUUUUGUUUAUCAUGAACUUUCUUGCUUCAACUUUUGUUUUUUAUAGUAUUGCAUUAAAAUGUUAUUUAUCUUGAUUUCUGAGUUUUUGGCUCCCUCUUAGUUCUAGCCCUGCUCUUUAUAAAUGUAUGUCUGGGCAUACGUUGAUGAAGGUAUGUGUGGCCUCCAGGGAUCUGGCCUUGCUCACUCCUCCAGAGGAUGCUGCUGGCUUUACUCAGAGCUUUCUUUCUAUACCAGCUCUUUCUAGAAACUGCUUUUCUGGAACUAAACUCUGGGGUCUUUUCAUUUGUCAAGUAAAUAUGUCCAUGUGAUGCAACCUCCAUUUUUGUGUUGAGAUCAGACAGGAUAUUCUCCCUCAUUCACUGCCAGGCUGACCUCCAGAAGUUGUGUUGUGAGCCUGCCCCAGUCUCCCAGCAGUGUUUGAAUCUGGGGAACUCAGCAGUCAGCUGAAAGACUUCUUCGUGCAUCCCUCCACAGGGCACCAGGGCAUAUGGUAGGUACAAAUUAAACACAGUAGCAACCUGGAUAUCUAAUUAUUCUCUGAGGCAAAUAUGUAAAUCAAGAUGCUGAUAACUCUGGGUUAUAUACUUAAACCCUUUUCUAUUAAUUUUCUGAAAUACACAUAAAGAAAAGCUUCCUUAUUUUAGUAACCCUUAGAAAGUUGACUCUUGGAUAAAUAAAGCCGUGUGGCAUAAAGACACAACACGGAUUUUGGAAUCAGAAAGUCAAGAGUUUGUGUCUUGGAUCAAUCGGGCACCAGAUGUGUGACUUUCAGAAAAUGUCUUAACUUUUCUGAAUCUCAAUUUAGUAAGAAUAAUGGUCUUUCUCUUGGAGGUAGAGGAAUAUGUAUACAGCUCAUGACAUAGAACAGAGCUCAGGAAGUGAUAGUUAUGAGGUACUGAGUUUUUCACCCAGAACAAAUGUUGAUUUAAGUAUCAGAGCUUUUUGAAAGUGUAAUCCUUCAGAAAGAAGUCCUUCAAAAUUUAUCGCUCAUUCAACUUUCCUCUUUACGUAGACUAGACAGAGUCUACUUUAUCUAUCUCCACGUACCAAGGCCACUAAUAGGUGCAGCUGUGCCUGGGCUCUCAUGAAAUGCCGAGAUGCCUCACGACCUGUGGAUUCACGAAGGCCAGGUUGUCCUGUGUACAUCGCUUAAGGAGUCAGUGCGCUUAUCUGCUUUUUAUGCUCUUUGAUCUUCUCUCUUGCAUCAGAAGUUUGCUAUCAUUUGUCCUUGCUACCCCUAAUUGCCUCUUUUUACUUGCUAGUCCUGACUUGCAGUAGGUUUGUAAGCCAGAUGCUUAGCUUAAUAAAAUUGUGGGCACAUAAAAGCAUUCCUAGGCGAUGAGUAAGGACCAAGGGUAUCUCCUACGUGUAGUGCAUGCAUUUCGUGGCAUCUGUUUCACAAAGAGUUUUCUUCUUGGCUAAGUCCUACACAGGUAAAGAUGUCAGGUGUCUGGAUUUUGGAGGGGUGAGGUGGAAUGAUAACAUUUUAUAUGGCUUCGAAUGGAUGGAGGGCUUAAAUAUAUUCUCAUUGAGGAGCAUGGUUGCUUCAUAACAGCCGGGACUCUGCUUUGUGUGAUCUGACAUCCUUCACAACACCAGGAUCAAGGCCGAUGGAGCAGCCACCAUCCAGAACAUUGUCAGAGGCAGACAGGAAAAGAGAAUGUGGAAAGCAUAGGCCGACUUUUAAAGCUUCUACCAGUCACUUCUUUUUGUUGUUUUGGUAAAGAAGACUGGCCCUGAGCUAACAUCUGUUGCCAAUCUUCUUCUUCUUUUUUUUUUGCUUGAGGAAGAUUGUCCCUGAGCUAACAUCUGUGCCAGUCUUUCGCUACUUUGUAGGAGGGACACUGCCACAAUAUGGCUUGAUGAGCAGUGUGUGGGUCUGCGCCCAGGAUCCGAAACUGCAAACCCUGGGCUGCCAAAGUGGAGUGUGUGAACUUAACCACUACACCACAGGUCUGGCCCCUUACCAGUCACUUCUGAUCACAUUUUAUGGUCAAAAGACGACAUGGCCCCACUUCAAGUGUGUGGUCAAGUGCUGUUCUACCAAGUGGCCAGAAGGAGAGAGCUAGAAUAAUUAUGAACAAAUCUAAUGACACAAAGGGAUGAUUUACAUAAAAGUCAGGAUACUUUUGAGAAGCUAGAAGGCAAAUGCAAUUUGGGAGGGACGUAGGAGGGCUCCUGAGGUACAUUAGUGCUCUUUUUCUUGGCAUGGUUGGUGAGUUUACAGGCUUGAGUAGUCUUUAAAUUGUACAUAUAUGUUUUCCUAUAUUCCUUAUUUAUAUUUCAUAAUAAAAGAUAAAAUAAAAUAUAAAAAAGAACCCUUUAAAACAUACAGGUCAUAUAUAUGGUCAUUUAGUUAUAGAAAAUGUUUGGAAGGAUUUAAGAGACAUUGUUAACUCUCUUAGGGAGAGGAAGGAGAGAUUGGGAGAGAUGAAAUGGAAAAUUUUACAUUUCAUUUUCUGCCUUUGGGUUUAAAUUUCUUUCUUAUAGUGUACAUGAUUUGCUUUUAUAAUGAAAGAUUAAUUUUUUAGAAAAGCAUAAAAAUCAAGAAACAAAAUAAAAAAAUGUGACUGGCCUCAGUGUGAGAUGUGUGUGUGCUCCCCAACUUUAGACGAAGACCUGCGCUGGGAGAAAGGGGAGAAGGCAUCGGAAGUGUGUCUCAAAAUGGAGCAGAAGGAUUGGACAGUCCUCAAAGCGGACGGGGAGGAAGGACUAUCAAUCCUAACAUCAGAAAGAGGUGUAGACAUGAUUUGGCACCAAGUCACCCCAGAGUGUAGACCUCUGAGUGACCUGUUAUUGAGGGUCAUUGUCCAACAGCUUGGACCCUCGAAGGCUGCAGGAAACAGAGAGAGAAGGACUUGGUCAAUUUGUGUGGGGAUGUGGGUCUGAAAGGAGAGUCUCCUCUUGACCAUGGUGGAACUGAACUGGAUCAACUGGAAAUUUCCCUAGGAACUGGGAGGGUAGUGGAUAUACUACACAUGUAAUUAAAAGUUAAUGACAUAAAAGUUGCGUUGAAUCUAUCUUUGUUCUUGGUGGUUGCAUAAAUCUAUUUAUUAUGAGGAAAAUUAGAAAGAAAACC